RNAcentral lists this ribosomal RNA (468 nucleotides) under uncultured bacterium. RNAcentral's name for it is "partial 16S ribosomal RNA". It matches the Rfam family "Bacterial small subunit ribosomal RNA", at positions 28 to 507 of the family's 1533-position model. The record is from RNAcentral.
GAUGAACGCUGGCGGCGUGCUUAACACAUGCAAGUCGAACGGUGAAGGCGGAGCUUGCUCUGCUGGAUCAGUGGCGAACGGGUGAGUAACACGUGAGCAAUCUGCCCCUGACUCUGGGAUAAGCGCUGGAAACGGCGUCUAAUACUGGAUACGAGCUGCGAAGGCAUCUUCAGCAGCUGGAAAGAAUUUCGGUCAGGGAUGAGCUCGCGGCCUAUCAGCUUGUUGGUGAGGUAAUGGCUCACCAAGGCGUCGACGGGUAGCCGGCCUGAGAGGGUGACCGGCCACACUGGGACUGAGACACGGUCCAGACUCCUACGGGAGGCAGCAGUGGGGAAUAUUGCACAAUGGGCGAAAGCCUGAUGCAGCAACGCCGCGUGAGGGACGACGGCCUUCGGGUUGUAAACCUCUUUUAGCAGGGAAGAAGCGAAAGUGACGGUACCUGCAGAAAAAGCGCCGGCUAACUACGUG